UCCAAGGGGAAUUAACUCAUCCGGAAUUUUAACUGGGAACCGGCCACCUCAUUACCGUAAUACAGGCCAGGUUAAACAUUACUGCAACGCAACCUAGGCAAAAAUCGGUAACCAAUCCUCAAUAUUCUUUCCGGAUCGACCAGGUGUAGACGUGUCUUUUACAGCUCUGAAUUGAAAAUUGUUUUUCGAUUUAUUUCACUUGGUUGAUUGGGGUUUUUCAUAGAUAAAUUGUGUUAUUUAUCUUUGUACUUCUUAUUCGGAAUAUUUUAUGUGGAUUUUAUGGACUUUUGUUUCAGUUGUAAAGGUAAGCCAUGCUUGCUUUUGUUGAACAAUCGUUUAUUUCUACCAUGCUGGGUGUUUUAGGCGCGAAAGAGCACGUGCAAAACGUUUUUUUCUAAUGCGUGAAACUUGUUUUCAGCUUUGCUGCGUUUUAGGUACAUUCUCAUGUACAUGAGCACGUGUAUAUCGUGAUCUUCGUCAAUACGCAGUUGAGGAAAAUUGUACAGUGUAAAUAUUCUUCUAAUGCGUUACGAGAUCGUGCAAAGCGUGCUCUUCUAAUUCUUUGACAGAUUGUUUAUCAUUUGCCAUUGUGUGCAAAAAUGAUUUUACAUUUCAUAUGACAAUAUUAAUUGAUGAUCAUUAUAUUUUCAUCUGUUUUGAAUUAAACUUUUGUUUAAUUUAUGAUCUACGGCAGUGGUAUUAUACGUACCAUUGACUUUCUCUUUUACAAUAAUAACUUAGAGAAUGUUAAUUAUUUUCAUUAUGGACAAAUAAUGAUUUUAUGUGCCGCAUGAUAAUCUGGUCUGUGACCAUUUUAUUAUUGAAUAUGUUUUGCUCUUGUCUUUCAUAUAAUCGACUUAAUGAUGGUCGCAGAUACAAGAGAUGAUAAAACCCGAUGACGUCGCAGAUCAUGGAUGACUUAUUUCAUGUUCAAAUUGUUGAAACUUUAUUGUUUCAGCCUUGCCGGGUUUUUGUACGUACUCAUGCACUUGAGCACGAGUUUUUCGUUUUUCCUCUUCAAUAAAUAAUUGAGAAGGUUCUUUCUGUUUCUUUUGUUUCAGAAAUGAACUUACAAAAUAGAGGUUCAUGUGGUCAUGUCAAGACAAGGUGGAAUUUCCACAACACUUGCCUUGCAUGUACCGGUUGCACUUGCUUCACAAAUGUGCGGUGUGCGUAUUGUGGGCUUAUGACACAGCUGGUCGCCGACGGACGUCGAUCAGCCACAACGCAACGAACCUACAACAGACGUUGAUUGUCCGGUGACUUCACUGGAUGAUGAGAGGACAUCUGAUGAUAUAGCCUUCGCUAUUCUUUCCCGGGCAGGAUGAGAUCUAUUAGUAAAUAUUGCUUAGAAAGUAGAUCUACAUCACACCUUAUGGCACCAAGAUGGGAAGAAGAGCCAUACGUCGGUAACUGCCCGUUGGCGGUGACCUUGGAGGGUCAUCGCCGGUGACAGUACUGUUCACUUAGUGACGGUCCGUUCACCGGAAAACAAUUUCCGGGUACUGUUCCCGUUAAUUGAGGCGAGACGGGCAAGACGUGGAACACGGAGCUACCUCUCCGUCGAUCGUCGUCAGACCAUUGGGGCGUUCGCCAUUUACCGGUCUGUGCCCGUAGACGUUGACCACGGAGCAACAAAGGUACGGCGGUCAAUGUCUCAUUCAGGUUUGUUGAGGUAUGUAUGAUUAUAACAUAUAUACCUAACGUUGACCACGGAGGUUCAAUAUUAGUGACGUCACAGUUUCAGAGAUGUUCCUGUAACACGUUGAAGAAACGGUUCCCAUUAACAUAGACGGACAAGACGUGGAACACAGAACUAUCGCAUCGUCGAUCGUCUUCAGAUCAUGGUGCUUUCGCCUUCACCGGUCUGUGCCUGUAGACGUUGACCACGGAGCAACAACGGUACGUGGGUCAAUGUCUCAUUCAGGUUUGUUAUGGUAUGUAUGAUUGUAGCAUAGUAUACCUAACGUUGCCAACGGAGGUUCACACUAGUGACGUCACCAUUUCAUAUUUGUUUCAUGAAUGGUCCGUUACAGAACACCAGUUACCGGGGACUGAUCCUGUCAUGGAGAAGAAUAUCCGUCACGGGUUCUCGGUACCUAAGAAGAACCUUCUUACGUCGGUUUUUGCCCGAGGA
Long non-coding RNA from Dreissena polymorpha, 2137 nucleotides. RefSeq lists it as uncharacterized. The record is from RefSeq and is a predicted model, not a curated record. NCBI's taxonomy places the organism in Eukaryota, Metazoa, Mollusca, Bivalvia, Myida, Dreissenidae. The transcript is spliced from 3 exons.